This 415-nucleotide ribosomal RNA is filed under the name uncultured bacterium. RNAcentral's name for it is "bacterial SSU rRNA". It matches the Rfam family "Bacterial small subunit ribosomal RNA", at positions 30 to 458 of the family's 1533-position model. The record is from RNAcentral.
AUUGAACGCUGGCGGCAGGCCUAACACAUGCAAGUCGAGCGGGGUUUUCGGACCUAGCGGCGGACGGGUGAGUAAUGCGUAGGAAGCUACCCGAUAGAGGGGGAUACCAGUUGGAAACGACUGUUAAUACCGCAUAAUGUCUACGGACCAAAGUGUGGGACCUUCGGGCCACAUGCUAUCGGAUGCGCCUACGUGGGAUUAGCUAGUUGGUGAGGUAAUGGCUCACCAAGGCGACGAUCUCUAGCUGGUUUGAGAGGAUGAUCAGCCACACUGGAACUGAGACACGGUCCAGACUCCUACGGGAGGCAGCGGUGGGGAAUAUUGGACAAUGGGCGCAAGCCUGAUCCAGCCAUGCCGCGUGUGUGAAGAAGGCCUUCGGUUGUAAAGCACUUUCAGCGAGGAGGAAGAGUGUGUG